This 253-nucleotide ribosomal RNA is filed under the name uncultured bacterium. RNAcentral's name for it is "partial 16S ribosomal RNA". It matches the Rfam family "Bacterial small subunit ribosomal RNA", at positions 524 to 776 of the family's 1533-position model. The record is from RNAcentral.
UACGUAGGGGGCAAGCGUUGUCCGGAUUUAUUGGGCGUAAAGAGCGUGUAGGCGGCCUGAAAGGUCAGCUGUGAAAACUCGAGGCUCAACCUCGAGACGUCGGUUGAAACCAUCUGGCUAGAGUCCGGAAGAGGAGUGUGGAAUUCCCGGUGUAGCGGUGAAAUGCGCAGAUAUCGGGAGGAACACCAGUGGCGAAGGCGGCUCACUGGCCCGGUACUGACGCUGAGGUGCGAAAGCGUGGGGAGCAAACAGG